RNAcentral lists this small nucleolar RNA (79 nucleotides) under Carlito syrichta (Philippine tarsier). RNAcentral's name for it is "Small nucleolar RNA SNORD79 (ENSTSYG00000023161.2)". It matches the Rfam family "Small nucleolar RNA SNORD79", at positions 6 to 78 of the family's 83-position model. Rfam says of the family: snoRNA U79 or Z22 is found in intron 7 of the gas5 gene in humans and is also present in mice. The record is from RNAcentral. Lineage: Eukaryota; Metazoa; Chordata; Mammalia; Primates; Tarsiidae.
GCUCAUUCAAGAUGAUUUUAAAGUUAAAACAAAUGGGAAUCUCUCUGACAGAAAAUAAAGAUCAAUUUUAAACUGAAAC